AUUUUUUCCCCCAACAAGGUGGCAGCCUCCUCAAAUGAAGAAUACACAUUAUCACGAGCAUCAGAUUUCUUCUUUCUCUUGUUUGAAGAUGAGGAACCCCCUUGGUCUUUAUCUCCUCGCGGAUCUGUACCAGAAACAUCCAUGUCGUCUAAAGAGACCUCAGCUUCGCAGUCAUAGAAUGUGUUUCUCUCUUCAUUCAUAUCUGUAGUACGUUC
RNAcentral lists this long non-coding RNA (215 nucleotides) under Gossypium raimondii (Peruvian cotton). RNAcentral describes it as "long non-coding RNA (GRAI_LNC001233)". Lineage: Eukaryota; Viridiplantae; Streptophyta; Magnoliopsida; Malvales; Malvaceae. The record is from RNAcentral.